Molecule: ribosomal RNA, 253 nt
Filed under: uncultured bacterium
Lineage: Bacteria
Description: partial 16S ribosomal RNA
Rfam family: Bacterial small subunit ribosomal RNA
Source: RNAcentral
UACGGGGGGAGCGAACGUUGUUCGGAAUCACUGGGCGUAAAGGGCGUGUAGGCGGCUGAAUAAGUGGGAUGUUAAAUCCCCCGGCUCAACCGGGGACCUGCAUCUCAUACUGUUCAGCUCGAGCACAUCAGAGGAGACUGGAAUUCCCGGUGUAGCGGUGAAAUGCGUAGAUAUCGGAAGGAACAUCAGUGGCGAAAGCGACUCUCUGGUCGGAUCCUGACGCUGAGGUGCGAAAGCUAGGGGAGCAAACGGG